This 984-nucleotide unclassified non-coding RNA is filed under the name Hevea brasiliensis (rubber tree). The record is from RNAcentral. Lineage: Eukaryota; Viridiplantae; Streptophyta; Magnoliopsida; Malpighiales; Euphorbiaceae.
AAGUUUAGGAUUUAAAAUAAAAUUUUACAUAGAUUUGUGCAUGUGUAGAAUGAACCUAGACAACACUAUGUCCAGGUUCAUCCCUGCCAACAGCUCUCUUUUUUUUCUUCUUUUUUCUUCCCUCCCAUCGGCUCUCUCUUCCUCCUCCCUUUCUUCAUUCUUCUUCUCCGUUCAAGGGCCACAACGCCAGCGUACCCCACCCUUAGGCUACACUAGUAGGAGCUCCAGGCGGCAAAGACGCCGUCAGUGGGCAAAGCAGCCGCAUUUUUCGACAAUGGCAGCAGCUCCAACGGUGAGCGAAGGAGAGAAAUGCCGGAACUUCUCUGGCCCAUUCUGGGCGAUUCCGAGCUCAGUUUCAUGCGAGACGAGUGGCUAUGGACUCCUAAUGAAAUGGGCUCCCUUUUCUGACAAGCGGUGUUGCAAACCAUCAUCGGAUUUGCGCAAAUCGAGGAGAGAGAAAAAUGGGCAUUUUUUACUUUUCCGGCCACUUUUUCUGCGAUCCGACCGUUGGAUUGGAAAUCCGAGACCACCAAUGGACUCAGGGCGACGAAAUCUUUGAGAUGGAAUUAGACCUGCUCCAAUCGGACACCGUUGGAAAAAGGCGAUCAUCAGAUGGUCCAGAACGUUUGUGCAAUCGGAUCGAGGAUAGCUCACCAGUGCCGGGACAGCAUUUUCAACCAGAUCCGGCUGCCCGGUGGCCCGUCUCAGAAUGCAGUCGAUAUUAUAGUCAAUCCUAGCAUUUUCAAAUGUUCUGGAUGCAUUUCAAGUGUCAGAAUUGGCAUAGGCUACAGGAGGAGACCUUUUUCAAAAUAACCUGAUUCUUUCCUCGCAGGUUAUCAAUAAUUACUUAAUUGUAUUAUUAUUCUCUAAAUUUGUAAUUUAAAACUCCGCAUGUAUUAGUAGUAGCAUUAAUCUUGUCAGGAACUGUAUGAAUUUAAGUUUUUGUAUUUAUAGAUGAAAAUUUUUUUGAGUUUUCAAUAGUUU